Molecule: long non-coding RNA, 876 nt
Organism: Gopherus flavomarginatus (Mexican gopher tortoise)
Lineage: Eukaryota; Metazoa; Chordata; Testudines; Testudinidae
Exons: 3
Source: RefSeq, a predicted model, not a curated record
UGGGCUGAGUUCACCAUCCCAGGGCUUUCUAGCAUCUUUCCUUGGACACUUAAUUCUUAGCCCAGCAGCCACAAGGCAUUAAUUUCUACGCAACAUCAUCCAUAUUUUAUCAAUCCAAGAAAGGUAGCAACACCAAGUAAGCUUCACUAUUCACACUAUUUUGCUUUGAAGUUUUAUCUAUUUAAGGUGGUAAGGUACUGUAUUCACUGACACUUCCCCCCUACUCCCCCUCGCAUAUAAUGAAGAGCUGAAUCAGACGAACACUCAGGAUGAGAUGGCUGCUGCUGAUGUAUCUCUCUAGGUCAUUACCUCUCUUCCAACUGCAAAUGCUGCAUGAUACUAAGCUUACAGAGGAAGAACACAAAAUUAACACUACAGAAAUCAGGAAUGUCUGAAUACCUUACUGGACAUGAUAGCCUUGCCCGUGCAGCAUCAGCUUGGUUAUUGUGACACCCUGGCAUCGCCAUUUUCAUCACUGACAUAUAAUUUUGGUAUGUUUUGUACAAAGUAUGCCUUGUGAGGUAUCAUUCUAAAAGUCUUGAUCUGCUGAAUGUUAAUAUCCUGUUGGAUAGUAUGUGCUAUCACGUGAAGUUAUGAAGUUUUGCUGUGUGUGAGUUACUGAAAGAUGUUGUGAAGUUGGAAGCACCCACAACAAGCCUUUCAGGUACAAUAAUGAAGAAGCUAGCCAGAGCUAAUGGCACAUCAGCAAAGACAACGGCCAUGCAAAAGGCUUGUCCUCACCAGGGGAUGCUUCAGACAGGCUAUGGCUAAUGGCUGCCAUGACUCAUCAAGCAUGCAUGGGCAUGUGACCAGACCACAUGAUACUCAACUCCAUUUUGAUACCUGUAUUUUUGCACAAACUGGGCUGGGAACUUG